Molecule: unclassified non-coding RNA, 338 nt
Filed under: soil metagenome
Description: partial contains 5.8S ribosomal RNA, internal transcribed spacer 2, and large subunit ribosomal RNA
Rfam family: 5.8S ribosomal RNA (bases 1-120)
Source: RNAcentral
GAUGAAGAACGCAGCGAAAUGCGAUAAGUAGUGUGAAUUGCAGAAUUCAGUGAAUCAUCGAAUCUUUGAACGCACAUUGCGCCCUUUGGUAUUCCUUAGGGCAUGCCUGUUCGAGCGUCAUUUAAACCUUCAAGCUCAGCUUGGUGUUGGGUGACUGUCCGCCGCCUCCGGGCGCGUGGACUCGCCUCAAAAUUAUUGGCGGCCGGUACAUUGGCUUCGAGCGCAGCAGAAACGCGAACUCGGGCCCGUCGUAUUGGCUCCCAGAAGCUAUCUUCACAAUUUUGACCUCGGAUCAGGUAGGGAUACCCGCUGAACUUAAGCAUAUCAAUAGCGGAGGA